Homo sapiens (human) is the source of this 643-nucleotide long non-coding RNA. Ensembl annotates it as B3GALT1 antisense RNA 1. Its record names the gene B3GALT1-AS1. Lineage: Eukaryota; Metazoa; Chordata; Mammalia; Primates; Hominidae. The record is from Ensembl.
CUUCACCUUCUGAGGCCUCCCCAGCCAUGUGGAACUGUCCUCUCAGAUCUACCAUGUGAGUGCACACAUCCUUCCAGUCAACCAGAGAUUCUGUGCAUUUCUUCUGGAGAGAUCUGAUGCACAGUGAUAACUCGGCGAUACCUACACAAACUGUAGGCCAUUUUCCAGUGAUUGAAGCCACUGUUCUGGAAAGGAUGUAUGCCCAGCUUUCGAAGACACAGUCCCACAUAUACGUCUUCAAGGUGAAGCAGCCUUGUGUGGAGUGAGGUCUUGUAAAUGAGUUCAGCUACAUCGGCUGAAAAGAUGUAGCCAGUCCCCGAACAGAAAGGAAGUUAGUGGGGCAGAAUUUUCAAUUUAAGAAGCACGUAUUUCUCCUAGAAACUGCAUGGUAGAUUGUCUGUUAUUCUGAAUAAUUUAUUUCAAGAAACCCACAGAAUUGCUGAAAUUCUUUUGUACAGCCAGAGGUGGGGUCGCUUUGGGACUCUGAGAUUCUCACGCAGGAAGUUUACUGGAGCAUGUUCUUAGGAACAACACCUGUCUCUAAUGUGAGAGGAGAAAGAAGAAGGCAAAGGGAGAGUCUGAACCUUGAUGCAGUCACAGCACAGACCUGAGCUGACCCUGCAGGGAGCUCUGGGGCUGGGAU